CGGGGAGUAGCGCAGCCUGGUAGCGCAUCUGCUUUGGGAGCAGGGGGUCGCAGGUUCAAAUCCUGUCUCCCCGACCA
RNAcentral lists this transfer RNA (77 nucleotides) under Alphaproteobacteria bacterium. Its description in RNAcentral is "tRNA-Pro". It matches the Rfam family "tRNA". From Rfam's summary of the family: Transfer RNA (tRNA) molecules are approximately 80 nucleotides in length. Their secondary structure includes four short double-helical elements and three loops (D, anti-codon, and T loops). The record is from RNAcentral. Lineage: Bacteria; Pseudomonadati; Pseudomonadota; Alphaproteobacteria.